AUGAGGUACUAUUUUGUGGAAAAUCUCAUAUACCCCGAGUCCUACUUUCGACGUCGUUUUAGGAUGAGCAUCAAGUUGUUUAAACACAUUGCGAAGAAACUGGCAAGCCAUGAUCGGUUUCUUCAGCAAAGGAGAAAUGCUGUCGGAGAACUCGGGCAUAACACCUUUCAGAAGGUGACAGCCGCCUUGCGUAUGUUGGCAUACGGUAUUCCGGUGAAUCUAGUUGAUGACCACUUGGCCAUGGGUGAGAGUCAAGUCAUCAUGUGUGUCAUGCGCUUCACAGUCAGAAUUGUACAAGUGUUUGGUCCGGAAUAUUUGAGAGCUCACAAUGUUGAAGACACUUGUCAGGACCCCGACUCGAUGUCACAUCGAUCUAGCUGGUAA
Molecule: ribosomal RNA, 384 nt
Filed under: Triticum aestivum (bread wheat)
Lineage: Eukaryota; Viridiplantae; Streptophyta; Magnoliopsida; Poales; Poaceae
Description: partial small subunit ribosomal RNA
Source: RNAcentral